UGGGGAAUCUUCCGCAAUGGACGAAAGUCUGACGGAGCAACGCCGCGUGUAUGAUGAAGGUCUUCGGAUUGUAAAGUACUGUCAUUGGGGAAGAACGGUUUUCUUGAAAAGAUUGAGAAGACAUGACGGUACCCAAGGAGGAAGCCCCGGCUAACUACGUGCCAGCAGCCGCGGUAAUACGUAGGGGGCAAGCGUUGUCCGGAAAUUAUUGGGCGUAAAAGGGCGCGUAGGCGGGCCUUUAAGUCCGGUGUGAAAGAUCAGGGCUCAACCCUGAGAGUGCAUCGGAAACUGGAGGCCUUGAGGACAGGAGAGGAAAGUGGAAUUCCACGUGUAGCGGUGAAAUGCGUAGAUAUGUGGAGGAACACCAGUGGCGAAGGCGACUUUCUGACUGUAACUGACGCUGAGGCGCGAAAGCGUGGGUAGCAAACAGGAUUAGAUACCCUGGUAGUCCACGCCGUAAACGAUGAGUACUAGGUGUAGGAGGUAUCGACCCCUUCUGUGCCGCAGUUAACACAAUAAGUACUCCCGCCUGGGAAGUACGAUCGCAAGAUUAAAAACUC
This 560-nucleotide ribosomal RNA is filed under the name uncultured bacterium. Its description in RNAcentral is "partial 16S ribosomal RNA". It matches the Rfam family "Bacterial small subunit ribosomal RNA", at positions 355 to 902 of the family's 1533-position model. The record is from RNAcentral.